UGUGAUCCCAAAGCUAAUGCAAAUGACGAUAUAGCAUGAGGGAUCUUAGGGUCAAAAUUGGGGUCUUACACAGUCAAAUGCCUUUUGUCCCUAUUUUGUGCCUGGACCGCCCUUUCGGGUUUUCAAUCCACCGGGACACUCUUUUUUUUCCUAAGCCGCCCUUUCGGGUUUUCAACUUAGCGAGCUUCCAUUUUUUAUUUAUACCGCUAAAUUUUGUCUGGAUCUCCUUCAUAGGUUAUGAUCCACCGGGAUACCCAUUUUUG
Molecule: long non-coding RNA, 263 nt
Filed under: Lathyrus oleraceus (garden pea)
Lineage: Eukaryota; Viridiplantae; Streptophyta; Magnoliopsida; Fabales; Fabaceae
Description: Pisum sativum (pea) long non-coding RNA (PSAT_LNC001810)
Source: RNAcentral